RNAcentral lists this ribosomal RNA (465 nucleotides) under uncultured Klebsiella sp. RNAcentral's name for it is "bacterial SSU rRNA". It matches the Rfam family "Bacterial small subunit ribosomal RNA", at positions 338 to 795 of the family's 1533-position model. The record is from RNAcentral. Lineage: Bacteria; Pseudomonadati; Pseudomonadota; Gammaproteobacteria; Enterobacterales; Enterobacteriaceae.
CCUACGGGAGGCUGCAGUGGGGAAUAUUGCACAAUGGGCGCAAGCCUGAUGCAGCCAUGCCGCGUGUGUGAAGAAGGCCUUCGGGUUGUAAAGCACUUUCAGCGGGGAGGAAGGCGGUGAGGUUAAUAACUUCAUCGAUUGACGUUACCCGCAGAAGAAGCACCGGCUAACUCUGUGCCAGCAGCCGCGGUAAUACGGAGGGUGCAAGCGUUAAUCGGAAUUACUGGGCGUAAAGCGCACGCAGGCGGUCUGUCAAGGCGGAUGUGAAGUCCCCGGGCUCAACCUGGGAACUGCAUUCGAAACUGGCAGGCUAGAGUCUUGUAGAGGGGGGUAGAACUCCAGGUGUAGCGGUGAAAUGCGUAGAGAUCUGGAGGAAUACCGGUGGCGAAGGCGGCCCCCUGGACAAAGACUGACGCUCAGGUGCGAAAGCGUGGGGAGCAAACAGGAUUAGAUACCCUAGUAGUC